CCUGUGACUGGUUGCAGUACAGGAAUCCUUGUCCAAUUCUUUCCACAUUGAUGCUUCACCCAUCUGCAAAGUAGAUCCUUUCUUUACUGCUCAGAUCCAGUCCUGUGAAGAAUCCUUUAUCGCUAGUCAUGUGGUUCAUUGCCUCAGAGUCUAUACACCAUUUUUGGGAUGAACUCCCUUGCGUUGCUCUGAAGCACCCACUCCAUUGUUGAGCGACUGUGUUUCUGUUUGUGACUUUAGCCCUCUGCUUAGGUGUUCAUAGAGACAGUUUCUGCUGUUCUGCUUUCCAUAUAUAGCAGUCUUUCUUUAAAUGUCCCUUCUUUUUGCAUCUGAAGCGUACUCUGGUUUCCCUCUUAGAAACUUUGUCUGAGGUUUCCAGUGCAGUCUCAUUACCCUGCUUUAGAUCAUUCUGCAAGUUCUCCUUUCUGUGCUGGAAUUCAUCCACAAGUCUACCUUUAACAAAUUCCAGCUUACGUUCGGCCUGUGGCCUUGUCUCCAGGGCAUUGAUGAAGGCACUGUAAGAUUCAGGCAGGCUGCAGAGGAGUAGGGCUACCACAUGGCUGUCCUUUGUAUCUUCUCCAAUGCCGCGCAGCUGUGCCACUACUUCCAACAUGGCUUUUAUAUGCUCCUGCAUUUCACUUUCUUUGCCAAGCCUCAUUUUGUAUAGUUUCCUCAGUAGAAACAGUUUGUUAUUCAGGCUACUUCUCUCAUGCGAGUUUUGCAAUGCAAUCCACAUGCCUCUUGCUGUGGUCUCAUUUCUUAUAUGGAUUAGCUGGUCAUCUUCUACCAAUUAACUUAUUGUAGCCUUUGCUAACCUGUCCUUUUUAUCCCAUUCCUCAUGAUUUUCUGCUGGUCUGUUCAUGGUAAUCACCUCCCAUAGAUCAUCUUUAGACACCAGCAUUUCCUCUUUAAACUUCCACAAUUGGUAGUUUACAUUGUUCAGGUCUCUUACUGAAAGUCUGAGAUCUGAGCUGCUUUCCAUACUUGCUUCUGUCCCUUUCCCCUUCUGGGAUUUAGGCCUUCUUAUUCACAGUCAGUAGGCCUCUCUGUCUGGGAGUUUUCUUUCACAUUUUCUGCACUCCUUCUGGGAUGCUUCUAGUCUUCAAAAUUGCCUCGAAGAUGUCCUGGGCCCAUAACCUAUUGUAGAGUUAGUUUUCAGUUGAAUAACACACAGCAGAAGUUUCUUCAAAACAGAACUUUACUAAGAACUCAGAAUAUAUGCUUCCAUGCUGUACAGACUUCAUGGGACAAGAUGGAGGACAGAGAGAGAGAAGAGAGGAGACAAGGAGAGAGAGAAAAAAACUGUUUCAUCCCCAUAUCCUCCCCCCUACUGGACAAGCCCCAUAUUAAGCUUGCAGGGCUUACAAUGGGCUUUUACUUGUGACUGUUGAACAAUCCAACGAUAACAAGCUAUGUAACCUCCUGACCAGGGAGGCCAGUAAGCUCCCCUAACCUCUCCCAGUCUCCCCUACCUGCCUUCAUCCCUUCUUUCUAGAUGCUCCCCAUGCAUCGAACUUCCUCCCUGCCCACAUCUGCCUCGCCCCCUCCCUUUGUACCUUCAAAUCCCUCCUCAAGACCCACCACUUCCACUUUGCCCUCCCCGACUCCUCGCUCCCCUCACCUAACUCCUGCUGAUACUCUCAAUUCAGAACAAUCUGUUACCUGAGGUCUAUGUACUGAUAUCAUCACCACAUGGACCGGCCAGUCAUCAUUCCUGAUGUAACCAAGUCAAGAAAGCGCACCUGGGACCUCGCAUCUUCGUGAAUGUUACACUCCUUGUUUCUCCCUCUGUUUCCUUUCCUUCAUAUCUCCCCUUCCCCAUCUCUCAGAUUGUAAGCCCUUGGGCAGGGACUGUGUCUAAUCCAUUACUUUGUAAAGUACCAGGUACAUUGUGUGCGCUAUAUAAAUGCCUGCUGCUGCUGCUAAUAAAAUAAAAUAAAAUAAAAUAAAAUAAAAUAAUAAUAAUAAAUAAUUAAUAAUCUUAAAUGACAAGUGUACUGUGAACUGUACUUUAAAACCGCAAAGGGCAAACUCUGUAGCCUGACCUCAUUUUUUAAAAAGACGAAAUAACUCUGAUGGUUGAUCUCACUGUUCAUUAUGAAUAUGGACCAGACUGCUUGAGAUGACAUCAAACACAAAAGUUGCAAAGUACACUCCUAUCAAGAUGGACAUCAUGAACCUUACCCAGGUAAAGCUGUUUGGCUUCCCCAUUGGGGCACAAGGAAAGUGGUUUGAGGGAAACUGGCCAGUUCUGGCCACACUUGGGUGGAAGCAAUACAGGAGGAAGCAAUUGGCUUGGCUAUUCAGUUGAGGAGCAUUGUAAUACUCCUGUGACAUGUUGUACAUAUUCUCUCGCACAGAGAGGGCAGUGGGUCUCUUGUAAUGAUUACAGGGAAAUCAUGACAAUGUCACUGGCGGACAAGACAGUAAGGCAGACAAGGUACUCGAUAUGGUUGGACAGGCUACUGGUAGCUCAUUCAGGAGAGGAUGAAUGAGAUUCUCACUGUCCCUACCUACUAUCUAGUGAAACGACAGCCAAGGGAAUGGGCUUGGUGGAAUCAGUGGGGAAGGAAGACCCUGUUGAGCUUGACUCUAGUCUGGCACUGGGAAGAGACAUGAGAGGUGUAGAAUAAGUGGGAGACCAGCCUGGGCCACCAGUGAAAUACCACUACUCAUCAUUUUUUCACUUAUCCGUUUAGGUGGGGGGGUUGAACCCUGAGGAUCUUCUGGCUUAAAGUAUCUGGCGCUUGCCAGACACAACCCACUCCAAGGGCAGUGUCAGGUGUGGAGUUUGACAAGGGUGGUAUACCUGUCAAACCGUAAAGCAUAUGUCCUAAGGCAAGCUCAGGGAAGACAGAAACCUCCUCUGGAGCAGAAGGGCAAAAGCUUGCUUGAUCUUCAUCAUGAAUACAGACAGUGAAAGCAGGGUCUCACGAUCCUUCUUACUUUGGGGGUUUUAAGCGGGAGGUGUCAAAAAAGUUACCACAGGGAUAACUGGCUUGUGGCAGCCAAGCAUUCAUAGCAACGUCACUUUUUGAUCCUUCGAUGUCAGCUCUUUCUAUCAUUGUGAUGCAGAAUUCACCAAGUGUUGAAUUGUUCACCCACUAAUAGGGAAUGUGAGCUGUGUUUAGACCAUCAUGAGACAGGUUAGUUUUACCCUACUGAUAAUGUGUUGUUGCAAUAGUAAUCCUGUUCAGUACGAGAGGAACCACAGGUUCAGAAAUUUGGUGUAUGUGCUUGGCUGAAAAGCCAAUGGAGUGAAGCUACCAUCUGUGUGAUUAUGACUGAAAGCCUCUAAGUUGGAAUCCCCGCAGUGCCAUGGAGUCUCAGUUGGCCUCGGAUAGCCAGGUCUACCCAGGGGGCAGCCCAGUGCCUAGAGCCAUCCAACUCAGGAGUGAAGCAUAGCUGGAAGGGGGGCACCUCUCACCCACAGCACAUGUUCAUG
This 3445-nucleotide ribosomal RNA is filed under the name Sphenodon punctatus (tuatara). RNAcentral describes it as "eukaryotic LSU rRNA". The stretch from base 2421 to 3445 matches the Rfam family "Eukaryotic large subunit ribosomal RNA", at positions 1889 to 3279 of the family's 3401-position model. Lineage: Eukaryota; Metazoa; Chordata; Lepidosauria; Sphenodontia; Sphenodontidae. The record is from RNAcentral.